UCUCCUACGGGAGGCAGCAGUGAGGAAUAUUGGUCAAUGGACGAGAGUCUGAACCAGCCAAGUAGCGUGCAGGAUGACGGCCCUAUGGGUUGUAAACUGCUUUUAUGUGGGAAUAAAUANAGAUUACGUGUAAUCUGUUGCAUGUACCACAUGAAUAAGGACCGGCUAAUUCCGUGCCAGCCGCCGCGGNA
This 191-nucleotide ribosomal RNA is filed under the name uncultured Bacteroidales bacterium. RNAcentral's name for it is "partial 16S ribosomal RNA". It matches the Rfam family "Bacterial small subunit ribosomal RNA", at positions 335 to 522 of the family's 1533-position model. Lineage: Bacteria; Pseudomonadati; Bacteroidota; Bacteroidia; Bacteroidales. The record is from RNAcentral.